GACAGAGGAUGCAAGCGUUAUCCGGAAUGAUUGGGCGUAAAGCGUCUGUAGGUGGCUUUUAAGUCCGCCGUCAAUCCCAGGGCUCAACCCUGGACAGGCGGUGGAAACUACCAAGCUGGAGUACGGUAGGGCAGAGGAAUUUCCGGUGGAGCGGUGAAAUGCGUAGAGAUCGGAAGAACACCACGGCGAAGCACUCUGCUGGACCGACACUGACACUGAGAGACGAAGCUAGGGAGCGAAUGG
RNAcentral lists this ribosomal RNA (243 nucleotides) under uncultured bacterium. RNAcentral describes it as "partial 16S ribosomal RNA". It matches the Rfam family "Bacterial small subunit ribosomal RNA", at positions 524 to 775 of the family's 1533-position model. The record is from RNAcentral.